Molecule: unclassified non-coding RNA, 262 nt
Filed under: plant metagenome
Description: partial contains small subunit ribosomal RNA and internal transcribed spacer 1
Rfam family: Eukaryotic small subunit ribosomal RNA (bases 1-46)
Source: RNAcentral
AAGUCGUAACAAGGUUUCCGUAGGUGAACCUGCGGAAGGAUCAUUACCAAGAACCACACAGAAAAGGGAGGCAAAGGGGCCGACAGGGCUAGUAGCUUAUACGUUGUUGAACGUCCUGCCUGGACCCGGAGCCGCCCCAUCUAAACCCUCUGCGUACCUGUCCCUUCUUGCUUCCCCCGGCACCUCGUCGGGGGGAGGUAACAACCAAAACUCUCUGUGAAUCAAACAGCCGUCAGAAUUAUAAAACAAACAAAAGUUAAAA